This 126-nucleotide small nucleolar RNA is filed under the name Dasypus novemcinctus (nine-banded armadillo). RNAcentral describes it as "Small nucleolar RNA SNORA77 (ENSDNOG00000045963.1)". It matches the Rfam family "Small nucleolar RNA SNORA77". Rfam says of the family: ACA63 (SNORA77) is a member of the H/ACA class of snoRNAs that guide the sites of modification of uridines to pseudouridines. This snoRNA was identified by computational screening and its expression in mouse experimentally verified by Northern blot and primer extension analysis. Lineage: Eukaryota; Metazoa; Chordata; Mammalia; Cingulata; Dasypodidae. The record is from RNAcentral.
GCAGACUCACUCUGCAUUCCAACAGCAGCCCCAGUCUGGGUGCUUUUUUCAUCUGCCAGAGAAACAUCUGGCCGCCGUGUGGGCCUCGACCUGUUGAUGGCACUGCAGCUGGCCGGGGACAGUGGU